UACGGAGGGGGCAAGCGUUAUCCGGAUUUACUGGGGUUAAAGGGUGCGCAGGCGGAUAUGUAAGUCAGUGGUGAAAUCUCUAGGCUUAACCUGGAAAUUGCCGUUGAUACUAUAUAUCUUGAAUGCUGUGGAGGUAAGCGGAAUAUGUCAUGUAGCGGUGAAAUGCUUAGAUAUGACAUAGAACACCUAUUGCGAAGGCAGCUUACUACGCAGAUAUUGACGCUCAUGCACGAAAGCGUGGGGAUCAAACAGG
This 253-nucleotide ribosomal RNA is filed under the name uncultured bacterium. Its description in RNAcentral is "partial 16S ribosomal RNA". It matches the Rfam family "Bacterial small subunit ribosomal RNA", at positions 524 to 776 of the family's 1533-position model. The record is from RNAcentral.